GAUGAACGCUAGCGGCAGGCUUAAUACAUGCAAGUCGAGGGCUCAGCAAUGGGACCGGCGCACGGGUGCGUAACACGUAUGCAACCUGCCUGUAUCUGGGGGAUAGCCCGAGGAAACUCGGAUUAAUACCGCAUACCACUGAGGGUCGGCAUCGAUUUUCAGUGAAAGAUUUAUCGGAUACAGAUGGGCAUGCGCAGGAUUAGCUAGUUGGUAAGGUAACGGCUUACCAUGGCAACGAUAGGUAGGGGUCCUGAGAGGGAGAUCCCCCACACUGGUACUGAGACACGGACCAGACUCCUACGGGAGGCAGCAGUGAGGAAUAUUGGACAAUGGGCGCAAGCCUGAUCCAGCCAUGCCGCGUGCAGGAAGAAGCAUCUAUGGUGUGUAAAACUGCUUUUAUACAGGAAGAAACCCUACACGUGUGGUAGAUUGACGGUACUGUAGGAAUAAGGAUCGGCUAACUCCGUGCCAGCAG
This 475-nucleotide ribosomal RNA is filed under the name uncultured bacterium. RNAcentral's name for it is "bacterial SSU rRNA". It matches the Rfam family "Bacterial small subunit ribosomal RNA", at positions 28 to 514 of the family's 1533-position model. The record is from RNAcentral.